RNAcentral lists this long non-coding RNA (1789 nucleotides) under Capsicum annuum. Its description in RNAcentral is "long non-coding RNA (CANN_LNC005762)". Lineage: Eukaryota; Viridiplantae; Streptophyta; Magnoliopsida; Solanales; Solanaceae. The record is from RNAcentral.
UAACAAAGCAUUACAUUAAUAAUACAUAAUGAAGCACUAAUUAAUUAGUUCUGAGGUUUAGAUCCAGUGUCUUUUUCCAUGGCCUUAUAUUCUUCAUAGGUGCAGCAAUGUCCAUGGCAUUUAUAAUGACAUUUUUUAGGUUUAUAUCCACCAUCAACUUCUACUUCCUGCUGUGAUUCAGUGGCUUUUUCCAUGGCCAUAUAUUCUUCAUAGGUGCAGCAAUGGCCAUGGCAUUUAUAAUGACAUUUUUUCUUAGGUUUAUAUCCACCAUCAACUUCUACUUCCUGCUGUGAUUCAGUGGCUUUUCCCAUGGCCAUAUAUUCUUCAUAGGUGCAGCAAUGGCCAUGGCAUUUAUAAUGACAUUUUUUCUUAGGUUUAUAUCCACCAUCAACUUCUACUUCCUCGUGUGAUUCACUGGCUUUUCCCAUGGCCAUAUAUUCUUCAUAGGUGCAGCAAUGUCCAUGGCAUUUAUAAUGACAUUUUUUCUUAGGUUUAUAUCCACCAUCAACUUCUACUUCCUCGUGUGAUUCACUGGCUUUUCCCAUGGCCAUAUAUUCUUCAUAGGUGCAGCAAUGGCCAUGGCAUUUAUAAUGACAUUUUUUUUUAGGUUUAUAUCCACCAUCAACUUCUACUUCCUGCUGUGAUUCAGUGGCUUUUUCCAUGGCCAUAUAUUCUUCAUAAGUGCAGCAAUGUCCAUGGCAUUUAUAAUGACAUCCUUUGUGUCCUCCACCUUUAUUAUAAUGGUCACCUCCAACACCAUCAACGUCUACUUCCUUCGCUGCUGCAUCGAUGAAUUGAGAAUAUUAAAACUUAUGCAUAUGCAUGUACUCACGACUGAUCUUUGAAUUGAAAUUUCAAUUUAUGUGUAGUACUUUUCAUUUCAUUUCGUUAUAGUUUAAGAUAAUUCCUCUUACUAUUAUAUAUAUUUAAAUAAAUUCUUAGUUUCAAUAUAAUAUGUUUAAAUAUUUUGAAUUGAAAUUUCAAUUUAUGUGUCGUACUUUUUAUUUUAUUUUGUUAUAGUUAAGAUAAUUCCUCUUACUAUGAUACAUAUUUAAAUAAAUUUUUAGUUUCAAUAUGAUAUGUUUAAAUCUACAAGAUUCAAAGGAUAUUUUAGUAUGUUCUAAACACAAUUUAGUUUUGUUUAGCAAGGAUUGAGAAGUUUAUGCUAUAUUCUUUAAAUUCAGGCAUAGUAACUGAGAAGCAUAAGGAAUAUAUAUUAAGUGUCAUGAUCAAGCUAGUGUUAGUAAAACAUUAGGUUAUCAUCUCACAUUUAUAAAAACUUACAAAUUUUAGUUUGUGGUCUAAUCUCAGAAACAACUUCUCUAUCUUGCAAAGAUUGGAGUAACAUCAACUUACAUAUUCUAUAUAUCUUCCGUAGUCUCUACUUAUGAGAUUACACUGAAGAUAUAGUGUGUGAUUUAAUUUUAAAUUUUCAUAAAAUUUUCAGAAUGCUCACAUUGAAUAUAAUUUUAAACAGUGGUUUAAAAGUUCUAUUAAGUAGCAUAAACAAUAAAAAGAUGACCAUUUACUAAAAGGAAAAGCCGAUUAAAAUAAGAUAUUAUCUUCAAUUAAAUGCUAGGAGUAGAACCUGUUAAAAUACUAAUAGCAUUUCACAUGCUGGACAUAUAUUUACUAUGUCACUAAAUUAAGAGCGAUAAAAAACGUGUAAAGUAAUGGAUAAAGAUAUGUUAAUAUGGCUAACGUAGUAACAUCAAUAGGUUUUUUUUUUUUUUUUUUUUUUUCCGAAUGAAUUCAAUUACGUAAAAAGAUAAUGAAAGAUAAUACUUAC